This 385-nucleotide long non-coding RNA is filed under the name Ananas comosus (pineapple). RNAcentral describes it as "long non-coding RNA (ACOM_LNC002670)". Lineage: Eukaryota; Viridiplantae; Streptophyta; Magnoliopsida; Poales; Bromeliaceae. The record is from RNAcentral.
GGGGGGAAAACAACACUCGUCCUUAAAAUAUUGGAUAACUUCGAAGACCCUCCAUGUGGUUUCAUACUUUUCCAUUUUAGUAUUCUAUAAUUUAAAGUGUAUCAAGUCAGUACCCUGUGGUUUCGCAUUUUCUCACUUUAGUAUCCUAUGGUUUAAAGUGUAUCAAGUUAGUGCCUUAUGGUUUUAUUUUUGUAUCAAGUUAGUACCAUGUGGUUUAUAAACUACAAGGAACUAAAGUGAGAAAGUGCGAAACCACAGCCCACAGGGUACUAAUUUGAUACACUUUAAACCACAUGGUACUAAAGUGAAAAAGUACAAAACCAUAUGGUACUAACUUGAUACACUUUAAACCACAGGAUACUAAAAUGAAAAAAAAAAAAACCAU